GAUGAAGAACGCAGCGAAAUGCGAUAAGUAGUGUGAAUUGCAGAAUUCAGUGAAUCAUCGAAUCUUUGAACGCACAUUGCGCCCCUUGGUAUUCCAUGGGGCAUGCCUGUUCGAGCGUCAUUUGUACCUUCAAGCUCUGCUUGGUGUUGGGUGUUUGUCUCGCCUUGCGCGUAGACUCGCCUUAAAACAAUUGGCAGCCGGCGUAUUGAUUUCGGAGCGCAGUACAUCUCGCGCUUUGCACUCAUAACGACGACGUCCAAAAGUACAUUUUUACACUCUUGACCUCGGAUCAGGUAGGGAUACCCGCUGAACUUAAGCAUAUCAAUAAGCGGAGGA
This 336-nucleotide unclassified non-coding RNA is filed under the name soil metagenome. Its description in RNAcentral is "partial contains 5.8S ribosomal RNA, internal transcribed spacer 2, and large subunit ribosomal RNA". The stretch from base 1 to 120 matches the Rfam family "5.8S ribosomal RNA", at positions 35 to 154 of the family's 154-position model. The record is from RNAcentral.